Molecule: long non-coding RNA, 315 nt
Filed under: Medicago truncatula (barrel medic)
Lineage: Eukaryota; Viridiplantae; Streptophyta; Magnoliopsida; Fabales; Fabaceae
Description: lncRNA gene23736
Source: RNAcentral
GAAGCAACUUUCUGCAGAUAAUCCUCAGAUAACACUUUGUGCCUAUUUCUGAUGCCAGCAGUGUUAUUAUCCGAGAUGGUUCUUCGUUGAUGUCGAGUGAACGAACGACGGUUCAAUCGCAGAACCGUUGAGCACCGAGAAGAAGGUAUGUGAGUUCAACUAUGGAAGUUGUUUGGCAAUUAGCAGUGGAACACAUCAUAGACGGUACAUUGAUAAAUUGAUAUGAUAAUUUUAGUCAUUGAUUCAACACUGGUUGUUCAUUUGGAACCAUUUAUGCGUAAAUUUGAUAUUUUUUUUUUUUUUUUGUGGUUUUGA